UGCGCAUGGUCUUGAGGGAAACACAAAUCAGUUUGCUGCCACCCCUGAUUCAGACCCAUAUGCUGUCCUCAUUCCCUGCACAUGCGUUUGAAUGGUUGAACCACAAUAGAAUACUUAUUAUUUCCACUUCUUGACUAAACUCAGCCCCUAAAUCCCCUCCACAAGCCGUGAAUCCCCAAGGGAAAACAACCAGAAAAGUUGCAUGUUCCUUCCUCCUCUCUAUUCCCUCAAACCGUGAGUUAUCUAGGAGGAGAACAACCAUCCAAGUUUCCAUUCCAUUCCCUGCAUGGUUCGAUUGAAUGACAGCAGCCAAGGAGAGCACAACAUGAGUUCAUCCUUCAUCCAUUCCUUGUGCGGCCCUGCACCUAGAAACAAAGAGGUGUAUUCAUUCCCCUAUUUCCUGGUUCACCUUUCCUCUCUUCGAUUUGAUGAGGAGAUUCUUUUGCAUGCAGAUUUUGAAGCUCGAUUCCUUGUGUAGAAGAGGGGUGAGGGUGUUAGUUGCUACUCUAAUCGAUUUGUAAUCUUUGUGUACUGGCAAGAAGGUUCAUAAACCUCAAGGAUGUUGGACGGACUUGGGGCUAUUUUGAUUAAAAAGCUAAAGUAUCAGGAGGACGUAAAAGCAUUUGGUGAAGUAGUAUUUUGGAUAUCUGCUGUUGUUUUAAAAUCAUGUUGUUUGUCGCUGUUUAUUUGGCUGUGCUGAAUCUUGACGUUAUGUACUGUUUUAGGGAUUGACCAAGUGAAUGUAGUAUUUUAUUUUGGGAACACACAGUAGCUUGAUUAUUGUAUUUGCUAAGACUUAUGUAAUUCGGUUAUCUUAUUUUGACAAACAA
Molecule: long non-coding RNA, 830 nt
Organism: Gastrolobium bilobum
Lineage: Eukaryota; Viridiplantae; Streptophyta; Magnoliopsida; Fabales; Fabaceae
Exons: 3
Source: RefSeq, a predicted model, not a curated record